RNAcentral lists this ribosomal RNA (253 nucleotides) under uncultured bacterium. RNAcentral's name for it is "partial 16S ribosomal RNA". It matches the Rfam family "Bacterial small subunit ribosomal RNA", at positions 524 to 776 of the family's 1533-position model. The record is from RNAcentral.
UACGGGGGGGGCAAGCGUUGUUCGGAAUUACUGGGCGUAAAGGGCUCGUAGGCGGCCAACUAAGUCGGACGUGAAAUCCCUCGGCUCAACCGGGGAACUGCGUCCGAUACUGGAUGGCUUGAGUUCGGGAGAGGGAUGCGGAAUUCCAGGUGUAGCGGUGAAAUGCGUAGAUAUCUGGAGGAACACCGGUGGCGAAGGCGGCAUCCUGGACCGACACUGACGCUGAGGGGCGAAAGCCAGGGGAGCAAACGGG